This 2312-nucleotide long non-coding RNA is filed under the name Capsicum annuum. RNAcentral's name for it is "long non-coding RNA (CANN_LNC018231)". Lineage: Eukaryota; Viridiplantae; Streptophyta; Magnoliopsida; Solanales; Solanaceae. The record is from RNAcentral.
UUCUAAAAUAACCAGACAAGAUACUAUAUUAUCAAAACAUUUAAGUAAUUCAAAUCAACACUCCUUAAAAAAUCAAAUCCAAAAUACAAGACACUUAAUAAUUAAUCCAACAACCACCAAAAUAUUAAACAAUCCUAAAGUUUUUUCAUUGGAGUUUAAAGAUGUCAAAGAUUUCUUUUUAGCAGUUGACUUUGAAUUAUUAUAAGGACGAGGUCAAUCAACGUCAUCAGCGGAUGUCAUCUGUAUGCAAGUUUACAUCAAAACAUAUAAAAAUCAAGUCAUUAGCUCAUAUGUCAUGCGACUACAAUUAAUAUUUUCAAGUUACUAGUACACAUUUUAAGAUACUACACUCAAAACCAUUUUCAAAUAUCUUAAUUGACAUUUUUUUUGAAUCUUCAUUUUCAAAUAUCUAAUUGACAUUUUAUUUCACUAGAAUUAGCCAUUUUCAAAUAACUAGUAGACAUUUCAAGUAACUACACAACCAUUUUCAAGUCACUACUACGCGUUUAAGUUACUAUACUUGACCAUUUUCAAAUAACUUAUUCACAUUGCAAGUCGCCACACUUCAAAUAUUUUCAAGUCACUAGUACACAUUUCAAAUCACUACACUUAACUAUUUUCAAUUAACUAAAUCACUUUUCAAGUCAAUAUACUUAAUCAUUUUCAAGUAACUACAUUUUAUUAUUUUAAAGUCAUUCGUACAAUUUCAAGUGACUACACUUAACCAUUUUCAAGCAUCAAGUUCACAAUUUUAAGUAAAUACACUUAACAGUUUUCAAGUCACAAGUUCACAAUUUCAAGUAACUACACUUAAUCAUCUUCAAGUCAUUACAAUUAAUAAUUUUCAAAUAACUUAUUCCCUGGUACACAUUUCAAGUCACUACACUCAAACCAUUUUCAAAUAGCUAAUUAACAUUUCAAAUCACUAUUCUUAACUAUUUUCAAAUCACUAGUGCACAUUUCAAGUAACUACACUUAACCAUUUUCAAAUAAUUAAUUCACAUUUCAAGUCCCCACGCUUAACCAUUUUCAAGUUACCAGGUCACCAAAAUUUAAGAGUGUAAUUUUUUUUAUAAAAAAUACUUCCAUACUUGCACAGUUCCAUAGAAUAAAGCCCAGUCGUGCAUUUUGAAUUUAAACCAUAUAUAGAAUAUUCCCAACUACUCACUAAAUCAUUUAUAUCUUAACUAUCUAAUAUUCUGUAAUUGAAUUGAUUAAGCUUUUAUGAAGAAGACCACCUUAUCAGGCCACCUAUUACUACAUGACAAAACUAACAAAUCAAAUAAAGCAGGGUUCUUGAAGUGGUUGAAUUUUCAAUCAAAUAAAAUGUCUUAUUCUUGUUGGCCAGAAUAAAGAAUAAGAGCAUAUGAAACGAGGUGGAAUGUGAUUCCGUUGAGAUGUUCUAGCUACACAUUUAUACAUCACUCCACUAAUACAUAACAUCACAAACAAAUGAAGAAUUUGUAUUCAUUUCAUGGAUGAAUAACAAUUAAGUCAUUCAAUGCCCAGUUCAGAAAGUAACGUUAGCCAAGCAUGAAAUCGAAACAUUCAAAAUAGAGAAACUCAGAUCCAAGUUAACCCACAUAUUUCAUAUUCCAAAACAAGUAAGAUAGAUCCGAGAACGACCUUACCGGAGACAAAUUCAUUAUGCAAUUGAUAUAUAAAGCAUUGGAAUCGAACCCUUGACACCCUCGUGGGGUUCGGUCAAAGCAGGUGAUGGCGCAAAUGGCAUGGCUCUGCAGCAGCGAGAGGAGGGAAGGGAGAACGGAGGGUCUUCGCCGGAGAAGGAGGGGGCGAAGGCGGCUGUCGCGAUGUUCGCUGGUGUGGUUGUCAUCGUUGGGCGCUGAAGGCAUGACAGGACUUGGCUCGGCACUGGGGUUGAUAGUGGCGGAAAUAGGAGAGCAGAGGUGGCGCCAUAGCUGGCGUUGCUAGUUCGGUCUCUCACCGGUGAUGGCGACAGCGGGAGAGGGCUAUUGACAGCGGAUAGAUCGGAGGAGAGGGAGGAGAUCGAGAUUUGGAGGGGGAUUUGUAGAGAGAGAGAAGGAGAGGGAAAAUAGGUAGAGAGAGUGUUGAAGGCGAAAGUUGUUAAAAAAUGACUUGGGUCUAGGGUAUUAGAUUCUUAAAAGGAAAUGGAUGGUCGAAAUCAUCUCUGUCGUUAGAUCAAUUUUGAUCAACGACUCGGAUUAAAAAUGAGGUUAACGCUCCAAUUCUGAUAUAUUUGUGACUAAAAUUGACACGAGCUGAAUUAAAAUUGGCUAAAUUUGUAAUAAAUUGGAUAGAAUGAACUAAAAUUAUAGUGACUUAGACAAAAA